AGUGAACGCUGGCGGUAGGCCUAACACAUGCAAGUCGAACGGCAGCACAGUAAGAGCUUGCUAUUACGGGUGGCGAGUAGCGGACGGGUGAGGAAUACAUCGGAAUCUACUUUUUCGUGGGGGAUAACGUAGGGAAACUAACGCUAAUACCGCAUACGACCUACGGGUGAAAGCAGGGAAUCUUCGGACCUUGCGCGAUUGACUGAGCCGAUGUCGGAUUAGCUAGUUGGAGGGGUAAAGGCCCACCAAGGCGACGAACCGUAGCUGGUCUGAGAGGAUGAUCGGCCGCACUGGAAGGGAACCAGCGACCCGGGUCCUGAGGGACGGAGCAGUGGGGAAUGGUGGGCAAUGGGCGGAAGCCUUGUCCAACCAUACCACGUCGGAUAAAGAAGCCCUCGGGUUGUGAAGCCCGUUUUUUGGGUAAAAAAAGCAGCCAGUUAAGACCCCGCUGAUCUGACGGUACCCAAAGAAUAAGCACCGGCUAACUUCGUG
This 492-nucleotide ribosomal RNA is filed under the name uncultured bacterium. RNAcentral's name for it is "partial 16S ribosomal RNA". It matches the Rfam family "Bacterial small subunit ribosomal RNA", at positions 29 to 507 of the family's 1533-position model. The record is from RNAcentral.